UAUUAAACCCGAUUGUAGGCGGCAGCUCCCGAUGCAAUCGGGUCUAAUGUCGAAAAGCGGGACUAUCG
RNAcentral lists this unclassified non-coding RNA (68 nucleotides) under Pedobacter xixiisoli. Its description in RNAcentral is "Flavo-1 RNA". The record is from RNAcentral. Lineage: Bacteria; Pseudomonadati; Bacteroidota; Sphingobacteriia; Sphingobacteriales; Sphingobacteriaceae.